Molecule: unclassified non-coding RNA, 336 nt
Filed under: soil metagenome
Description: partial contains 5.8S ribosomal RNA, internal transcribed spacer 2, and large subunit ribosomal RNA
Rfam family: 5.8S ribosomal RNA (bases 1-120)
Source: RNAcentral
GAUGAAGAACGUAGCGAAAUGCGAUAAGUAAUGUGAAUUGCAGAAUUCAGUGAAUCAUCGAAUCUUUGAACGCACAUUGCGCCCGCCAGUAUUCUGGCGGGCAUGCCUGUUCGAGCGUCAUUUCAACUAUCAAGCCCCAGGCUUGUGUUGGGGACCUGCGGCUGCCGCAGGCCCUGAAAACCAGUGGCGGGCUCGCUGUCACACCGGGCGUAGUAGAUUUUAUCUCGCUCAGGGCGUGCUGCGGGUUCCGGCCGUUAAAAAGCCUUUUUUACCCAAAGUUGACCUCGGAUCAGGUAGGAAGACCCGCUGAACUUAAGCAUAUCAAUAAGCGGAGGA